GGCCAUGACAGAAGGCAAACGAAAGUUGUCUUGGGAGUGUGGUUUGAUGUGGGUGUGUCUUUGCCAUUCAAUCACAACAAAGUGCAGUAGCGAGUACAGCGACGGAAGCUAAGCUAGCUUUGCUAGGGAGAGAACAAAGUUUUGAAGUUGAGAACUUGACUGACUCUCCAUCUCAAGAUGGUUAGCUAAUUCAUUUCUAUGUGUAGGCUAAAACCUGCCCUGAUCUUGUGUUUAGCCAAGCUGACAGCAGCUAGCUAGCCUAGCUUGGUGACAGCUGAAGCUGGCUAUCCAAUGUGGCUGAUAUUUCUGUCAAAUCAGCUAUGGCAAGAUAGCAAGAGCCAAUGGCUGGAAUGUGUUUCAUAAAACAUCCGUUAUACAACGCCUUCCUACGAAAGUAGUUUGCAGCGUAGUUUCAACGUUUCAUCGCGUGAUGUAAAUACAUGUUACCGUGGAAACAAUAUCAACUACUGCAAGUUGGAUGCCCCCGGUCUUCGGUCAGCUCAGCUGUCCUACACAGGCAGGUCACCCAGGAUACAAUUCAGUAUUCGACCUCAGAUAUCCAUGUCUGAGGACAUUAGGAGAUGACGUGGAAACCGGCCACUAGGAGCAACAUGGAGUGCUGUCACCUUCAAGUUAUGGACAUGUGCUGUCAGGAGGGGUGAAGUGCAUGACACUCCAUCCUGGACAUGACAGAGUUUGCCUCAUGGGUCCAGCAGGCAGAGUUCAAUAACUACAGGCAGAUGCGAGAUGCAGGAGGAUGGCACUCUUCUCGUUCUGAGUAACCUACAGAGUAGUAUAAGAAGAAUGUGCUGAACUUAGCUGAUACAGAUAUGUACCUAUCAACAUUGUGUCUAGAGGUGCUGGGGAUACCUUUGUCACGCUCAUCUGAAUGAAUGGACCAAGGUGCAGUGUACUUAGAGUUCCACAUGUUUAAUAAAUAUGAAACUCACCAAAAACAAUACAGAAGAAAACAAAAUGGGACGUUCUGGGCUGCUUACAGGCAGCUACACAAAAACAAGAUCCCACAAACAACAGGUGGGAAAAGGCUGCCUAAAUAUGAUCCCUAAUCAGAGACAACGAUAGACAGCUGCCUCUGAUUAGGAACCAUACCAGGCCAACAAAGAAAUAGAAAACAUAUAUUGCCCAACCUAGUCACACCCUGACCUAACCAAAUAGAGAAUUAAAAUGAUCUCUAAGGUCAGGGCGUGACAACCUUGCCAAACAUGUCAGUCGUCAUACCUUCCUGUAUGGUGUCUCAUAUCCCCCCUCAUUGAUAUUCAAUAAUAACAAAAUACAAUAAAAAGUAAUAGAUGUCAUGUAUAAUUUUUUUGCAAAUUUUUUUUCCAGUCUCCCUGAAUUUGGUCCCUUGGCUCAUCUCGGCAACUCCUCAAUGAGCUCAGGAGAGAUGAAGGUCGAGUCAUGUGUCCUCUGAAACAUGACCCGCCUGGCCACCUACUUCUUAUCACCCCUAUCUCAGCUGCACCAAUGUGUCAGAGGAAACACUGUUCGACCUGAGUCAGCUUGCAGUAGCCCAGCCCUGUCACAAGGAGUCACUAGAGCAGAAUGGAAAGCCCCAACGGCCAAACCCUCCCUUACCGUGUGCGGUGCUGGGCCAAUUGUGCGUCGUCCAGCUGCUCUCUCGUCAUCUGACUACGUUUUCUCUCAUAGUCCGAGAGCAUCUGAUCAUCGCGGUGGUGGCACAGGGAUACUCAUUUGUCCUAAGUAGAUCUCCUCAUUUUAAUUCCAUACUGACACUCAUUUGUCCACUCAAGCUUAAAAUUGUUGUCAUAUCACCCAACAGGUGCCCUUAGAGUUUAUUGAGCUUGACACCUUGAUAAGCAAAUUUCCUGAUGGCUCACAGCUAUUUGUACUUGGCGACUUCAACCUCCCGACUUCUGCCUUCGAUUGAUUUCUUUCCAACUCUCUCUUUCCCCUCCUUGCCUCUUUUGACCUCACCCUUUCCCAGUCCCCUCCCACUCACAAGGCAGGCAAUACGCUUGACCUCAUCUUUACUAGAGGCUGUCCGCCAACUAAUCUCACUGCAACCCCCCCAGGUCUCUGAUCACUACUUUGUUCCCUUUUCUGUCUCCCUUUCCUCCAACCCUAACCACUCAGCCCCUACCUAGAUGGUCAUGCGCCAUCAUAGUCUUCACUUUCUCUCUUUCCCACUACUCUCUCUUCAAUUUCAAUGCUGUCAUCUUUCCCUUCUGCUAAAUCCUUCCCCCCUCCUGUCGCCUGAUUGUGCCUCUUCAAUCCUACUCUCCUCCCUUUCUGCAUCCUAUGACUUGCACUGUCGCCUUUCUUCCCAGCCGACUCGGCCCUCCCCUCCUGCUCCAUGGCUGAGUGACUCAUUGCGAGCUUACAGAACAGGGCUGCGGGCAGCUGAGCGAAAAUGUCUGAAAACGAAACUUCCGGAGGACCUAUCAUCCUUCCACUCCCUCCUCUCUAUCUGAUUUUCCUGUGUAUCAACUACAAAGCCACUUUCUAUCACUAUAACCCUAGGAAACUUUUUCCACCUUAUCCUCCCUCCUUAAUCCUCCACGGACAACUUUGUCAAUCAUUUUUAAAAGGUUGAUGACAUCCACUCCUCAUUCACUGACUAUUGAGUCCAAUAGUCCCACUCACACAUUACUACCCUCCGCCUUAACCUCUUUCUCCCCUCUCUCUCCAGAUGAAAUCCUGCAAUUAGUGAGGUACGGUCACCCGACAACCUGCCUUCUCGACCCUAUCCCUUCCUCCAUUCUCCAGACCAUCUGCACAUUCAGCUGCAAACUGGACAUUUUUCUAAUAAAUACAAAAGGCAAUCUUAUUGCCUGGGAGGGCAGGGUGAUAUAAUAGACAGCCAAGUGUAAAAUUGCUGGGCCUCCCGGGUGGCGCAGUGGUCUAGGGCACUGCAUCGCAGUGCUAACUGCGCCACCAGAGUCUCUGGGUUCGUGCCCAGGCUCUGUCGCAGCCGGCCGCGACCGGGAGGUCCGUGGGGCGACGCACAAUUGGCAUAGCGUCGUCCGGGGUAGGGAGGGUUUGGCCGGUAGGGAUAUCCUUGUCUCAUCGCGCUCCAGCGACUCCUGUGGCGGGCCGGGCGCAGUGCGCACCAACCAAGGGGGGCCAGGUACACGGUGUUUCCUCCGACGCAUUGGUGCGGCUGGCUUCCGGGUUGGAGGCGCGCUGUGUUAAGAAGCAGUACGGCUGGUUGGGUUGUGCUUCGGAGGACGCAUGGCUUUCGACCUUCGUCUCUCCCGUGCCCGUACGGGAGUUGUAGCGAUGAGACAAGGUAGUAAUUACUAGCGAUUGGAUACCACGAAAAUUGGGGGGAAAAUGGGAUAAAAAAAAAAAAAAAAAAAGUGUAAAAUUGCAAAUUGUUCUACAGAAAGGACAAAUCUUUUUGCUAAUGCACUUUACAAACAAAAUAACUCUACUAGUUGUACCUGCUUGGCUGAGCAAUUAGCUUACUAGUUUAUCAAGCCAGGUAUUUUUUUAAUACAACUUUUCACCAUCUGUGUUAUCAGGGCAGUAACUGGGGUUACUAUCAGAGGCCUCGUGAUGGCGUGUCCUUUUCAUAAGAGUCGGGGGAGACUGGCAACAAUGGAGGAGGUGUCACAAGGCUACUUGUGCUGCAUGGCACACUUUUAUUGAGGUCUUGCCUGACAAGCUGUGAAAAUAUCAAGUGAACAGUGAAUGAAAUUAUUUAAGUCACAUUGCUAUGAUACCCACUUCUGCUCCUUCUGGUAGGUCCCGGCAUCUGUUCAUGACCAGGGGAUCAGUCAGGCACCCAACUAUGCACUUUGUCUAACAGAAAAACACUAUCAACGAUUGUCAUCUUCCCUGAACUAUAAACAGCUUGAGAAAUAAUGUAAUCUUGUUUGGAAGCUAAUUCUGCGCUUUACAGAUGUAGACUGACUGCCUCACGAUUUGAUUCAAGCUGGUGAUGCCGUUACACUAUGUACUCAACUGUGACAUGUUUUGCUAUCGCCCUGGGUUGGUUUGGGUUUGUUGCUGCUGGUUCUUACACUGUUGUAGUCAGACAUAAGUUAGCUACUACCAACAUAACUGCAUCCAAUAGCUGCAUGCUUUAUUUGUGCCCUAGACAUGUGUUGCACCUCGGAGGCUAAUGUAAUUGUUUUGUCUAAAUUACACUAACUUAUAGUGGCAUGGAAGUACGGUGACAUUGCUAAAGUAGGUAAAUAAUUAGUAGGAAACAAUGUCAUCAAAUUUACCUUAAAGAGAUGGCAAUGUUGCCAUGAAAUACGGUGGUCCCCUCAAUCGUAGUUAGCUCGCUAAAGUUAUACUGUAUCGAAAGUCAAUCUGGCGACAUCACAAUCAUGAUAAAAGGUUUUACAACUAA
Long non-coding RNA from Salvelinus fontinalis (brook trout), 4342 nucleotides. RefSeq lists it as uncharacterized. The record is from RefSeq and is a predicted model, not a curated record. The transcript has 3 exons. Lineage: Eukaryota; Metazoa; Chordata; Actinopteri; Salmoniformes; Salmonidae.